GAAACCGCAACGUCUAUUUAAUGCAACCUUCGUAAUACACACUGCGUUCUAACUUAGACAAGUAUCGACGCCAGCAUCGUAACAUACCAUUGUACAUAUUUAUGCAAAAGAAAAUAAAUUCCAAUAGUGAACGAAAAAAAUUUUCUCUUUCCCUCCAUAGGCAAUUGUUAAGGGAUAGGUUUUUCCUGCAUAAGUACACCAAAAUUAGGGGCUAAAUGUCUUCCAUUCACGUUUAUCCGAAGAUGCGUAGCACUUUGCCAACAUUACCGAUGAAUUCUCAAUAUACAAACGCGUAUAAGUGUACAUUAUGUUCCUCAUGUAGACAUUCUGAAAAUUCACCGUUUCGGCUACUCGGGUAAUUUAAACUAUUUCUUCAUCUCUCUUUUCGAAAAGGGGAGGUCACAAGGCCGAAUACUUUUUCAUGAAAAAGGUGGGAUAGCCUCGAUUAAAUGAGCCCUAAGUAGGAAAAUCCUUUAAUUGGAGGAGGAAGAUGGACAUAAUGGAAAGAAGGUUAGAAGGUACCUUUUGAGUAUGGUUAAAGUCCACUUGGAUUGCAAACCUGACUUUGCAGUAAUAGUAGAAAAAAAUAGAAAGAAAGCGGGAUUAGCAAUUAUUAGGAAAGAAUCAUAGUAAUCCCAUGCACCUAAUCCAAGGUUUUGGAAAGGGGAUUUUAUUUUUAGACGCGAUAGUCAGGCAAAGCGUAUGGGCCAGCCAAAAUACUUGGCAAGGCUAAAGAAAGAAUCGAAGAGAUAGAAAGAUACGAAAAUUCGGAAUGCGCUGAUGAUCGCGUUUAGGGAUUUUCGUAUGUAAUCCUUCACUUUUCAACCAGUCAGUCAAUUGGAAACGCUGACCCUAUUACUGAUGCAGUGUACGAUACUCAAUUCAAAGGGGAAAGGGGGAGGAGGGCGUGAAGGAACAAUAUUACGAGUGUUGUCUCCGCUCCUUGACUAUACUUAGACACACAAGUCCGAAAAUAGACUCGCUCUGAUUUUGCUUUUCGUAACUUGCUCUAUUAAUAAAUGUAUCCGGUAAGAAUGGGGUACAAUACGAAUACAGUACAUUGGGAAAAAAUAACCAGAGAGGUAGCUUAUGAGUAAUUUGAUUUCGCAAUGAAUCGACCGUUACGACCUGCUUAUACUUUAGUAUAGCUAGACGAAGUAGUUUGGAUUAGACUUUAGGAGUAGUCCUAUCUGGCGACUGACAUACUUUCGUUGCGAUAUAGUUUACGUGCGCAACCAUUCGCGAGGAGGCUGAAUAUUGACUUGAGCCUCGUUAUUGCUUAUACCACUCAUUCAAAGUCGUCUACACUCGUGCUAACACUGCAUCCGCCUAUCAUUUUCAGCACUUGUUACGAAAAGGCAAACCAUUCGAUGUUUCUCAUCUACCUCUCUACAUGAUUGCUUAGGAGUACGGGAAGGAAUUGGGGGAAACUAGGGUUGAACGAUGAACUUGACAAAUUCUCAUCAUUUUUAAUCGGUCGUUAAGUGUUACGAUUGGGGCAACAUGUUUUAAACUGUUAGUCAGUGAGUAGAGAGGAGAGUCAACGAUGAUGUGAAUGCAUGCCAUGACUCAUGGAAACAGUGAGAAUUUUGGAAAUCAAAAAACAUCAUCGCCACAAUCCAUCUCUGUCCGCCGUCCCUUUACCUUUGUUUUAAUGGACAGCCUCAGUAGUGCUGACUCACGAAAUUGACGUGUGCAGCGACUGCUUACCUUGUCCUUCCUUCCUUUCUUCCUCCUUACCUGGGGUAUGCCGAAUUAGCUUAAUCAAGCUAGUGGGACAUAAAGGACUUUGAUUAUGGACUUUUGCCGUAUCGGUACUUGAAGCCCGUAAAAGGGCAUCUGUCUCGGAACUUUCCGUGGCUCCAUGUAUAAGAAAACACACAUUUGUUUAUUUUGUGCACUAUAUGAUGUUUGUCCAUAUAUACCCGUGUAAGCGACAAAUCGAAUUAUGCACAGCUUUGUCUUACAUCUAUUCGUACUACCCCGUAUUACAUACCCCGUCUUACAUGGUCUACCAAAAGUAUGGCUUUAUCUCUUAACAGAUUCUUUGUUUUCUGUCAGAAAACAUUUUUUUUGUUGAUAUCUGAAAACAGUUUUAACGGAAAACAUCAUUAUUUUUUCUUCGCAUUAUCGGCCCGUCUAAACAUCGGUAGAACCGAGCUUCAAACCAAAACCCCCCAUAUUAAAUGGAAUGUGCAGAAUACUCCCAGCUUCAAGACAAAAUGACUAACGAAAUUUUCGAAUGUUAAGUACGGAUUACUUUUUUUCGGCUAGCACGGGAUACAUGCAACUCUGGCUGACCUUAAAUUCAGUUCUGUACCGUAGCGAUAGCAUACUACCGAAUUAACUUCUUAAUCUACGCUUUAGCGAACCCUUCGACGAACUGACCUCGUUAACCCAUCCAAGACAGUCUAUCUAUUCCACCAUUUUUAGGAUUGCGCUUCUGUAAAGUGUUGAACUUAAUCCAAAUAAAUACCAUUUGUUUCAGCACGAUUUCAGGAUAAAUGUGGGCAAACAGCUUAAGGUUUUUAGAUUUAAGCUAAUUUUUCCUGUUAGCAAAAAAAGAGGCAGUGGUGCUAGAAUACCCGAAGGCCGUUUGUCUAAAUAUGCUAUAAUUAAAACCAAAAACCAUUUUCCUUAUGGCUUUUACCACUUCAUCUUAAUGACCCAAAUGCUUUAUCUCUUAUCUCGGAGAAAAAGUCUUGUAUUUUGAAUCAAUCAUGAAAAAGUCAAAUAUCGUGCUUUUAUUUCUGCCUAAAUUUCUCGAUUCUGACAAAAUUAAAAAAUAUUCCUGUUAGUCGGUCUCAUUCAAAAUGUUAAGAUAACAUAUCAUUUCCCGGUACCCUAUUUUAUUUUACCGAAAGUCAUUCCAUUUUAGUAAAGGAUUUACCGAAAAAAAUCAAUGCAACCUGUGGAAUACAUAUUUUGUUGUUUUGAUGGAAUAAGAUUGGGAAACGACUAGCAGCCCUACAUUUUUGUUUUAUGUCCUGUGAACGUCGGUUGUCCAGAACAUUCAACUAUCAAUUUCUCGCCGUAUACUAAAAUAGAAAACUUGCUGCAGCGCACCAGUUUAAACAGCUCGGUGGUAUAGCUUUCCCUUAGAUUAGUUGUUUUUUUUUUUUUAGCAACAAUACAGUCAAUGCAUGGCAAUUUUUAUUUGCUUUUCAAUUUGAGUUUAAUAGCAUUUAAUUAGCUAUUUUUCAUUCGAUGCUAUUCUUCUUUAUGCAAUUCUCGUUUCGAAUGCUAUAGGCAGUCAAAAAGCACAUGGCAUAUCAAUCCAAUAGUUAAUAAAUCGAUGCUUAAUUUGGUGGAGAAGAAUGGUUUAACACAAUUGUAUGAAAUUACUGUAAGAGACAUUAAACGGAAUCGUAAUUACUUUUAAACUAAAUAUGCCAUUCCUCGAU
Molecule: non-coding RNA, 3404 nt
Organism: Schizosaccharomyces pombe (fission yeast)
Lineage: Eukaryota; Fungi; Ascomycota; Schizosaccharomycetes; Schizosaccharomycetales; Schizosaccharomycetaceae
Source: the annotation of a GenBank genome assembly